AUUGAACGCUGGCGGCGGGCCUAAUACAUGCAAGUCGAGCGGAUAAAGGGUGCUUUCCCCUGGCUUAAGCGUCGGGCGGGUGUGUAAUGUAUAGGAAUAUGCCUCGUUGUGCUGAAUAACAUCAGUUAGCGAGCGCUAAUACCACAUCCGACCUGAACUUGAAAGUGGGGGAUCUUCGGACCUCUCGCUAUCAGAUGAGCCUACGUCGUAGUAGCUAGUUGUUGGGGUAAAGGCGUACCAAGGCGGCUAUCCGUAACCGGUCUGAGUGGAUGAUCAGUCACACUGGAACGGAGACACGGUCCAAACUCCGACGGGAGGCAGCAGUGGGGAAUAUUCGACAAUGGGCGAAAGCCUGAUCCAGCCAUGCCGCGUGAGUGAAGAAGGGCUUCGGAUCGUAAAGCACUAUAAGUUGGGAAGAAGAAAAGUAUGUUAAUACCGUGCUGUUUUGACGGUACCUACAGAAUAAGCACCGGCUAACUACGUG
RNAcentral lists this ribosomal RNA (484 nucleotides) under uncultured bacterium. Its description in RNAcentral is "partial 16S ribosomal RNA". It matches the Rfam family "Bacterial small subunit ribosomal RNA", at positions 30 to 507 of the family's 1533-position model. The record is from RNAcentral.